This 253-nucleotide ribosomal RNA is filed under the name uncultured bacterium. RNAcentral's name for it is "partial 16S ribosomal RNA". It matches the Rfam family "Bacterial small subunit ribosomal RNA", at positions 524 to 776 of the family's 1533-position model. The record is from RNAcentral.
AACGUAGGAGGCAAGCGUUAUCCGGAGUAACUGGGCGUAAAGGGCGGGUAGGCGGUUGUGUAAGUUGGUUAUGAAAGCUCCUGGCUAAACUGGGAGAGGUUGACCAAGACUGCAGAACUUGAGUGGAGAAGAGGUAAACGGAAUUCCGCGUGUAGUGGUGAAAUGCGUAGAGAUGCGGAAGAACACCAGUGGCGAAGGCGACGUGCUGGGUUGCACCUGACGCUGAGAUGCGAAAGUGUGGGGAGCAAACGGG